ACGGCUGAGUAACGCGUGGGUGACGUACCUGUUGGUGGGGAAUAACUGCCCGAAAGGGUGGCUAAUUCCGCAUAAGUCCUUUGCUUCAGUGUGAAGGGGAAAGCUUCGUAAGAGGCGCCGAUGGAGCGGCCCGCGUCCGAUUAGCUGGUUGGUGGGGUAACGGCCUACCAAGGCGACGAUCGGUAGCUGGUCUUAGAGGAUGAUCAGCCAGACUGGGACUGAGACACGGCCCAG
Molecule: ribosomal RNA, 234 nt
Filed under: uncultured bacterium
Lineage: Bacteria
Description: partial 16S ribosomal RNA
Rfam family: Bacterial small subunit ribosomal RNA
Source: RNAcentral